This 301-nucleotide ribosomal RNA is filed under the name uncultured bacterium. RNAcentral describes it as "partial 16S ribosomal RNA". It matches the Rfam family "Bacterial small subunit ribosomal RNA", at positions 509 to 807 of the family's 1533-position model. The record is from RNAcentral.
CAGUAGCCGCGGUAAUACGUAGGGGGCGAGCGUUGUCCGAAGUUACUGGGCGUAAAGAGCGCGUAGGCUGGUCUUUAAGUGAGUGGUGAAAGGUUCGGGCUCAACCCGGACACUGCCUUUCAUACUGGGGACCUUGAGUGUGGGAGAGGCGAGUGGAAUGGUCGGUGUAGCGGUGAAAUGCGUAGAUAUCGAUCGGAACACCCAUGGCGAAGGCAGCUCGCUGGCCUAACACUGACGCUGAGGCGCGAAAGCGUGGGGAGCAAACAGGAUUAGAUACCCCAGUAGUCCCUGUCUCUUAUAC